Astyanax mexicanus (Mexican tetra) is the source of this 168-nucleotide small nuclear RNA. Its record names the gene U1. It matches the Rfam family "U1 spliceosomal RNA". From Rfam's summary of the family: U1 is a small nuclear RNA (snRNA) component of the spliceosome (involved in pre-mRNA splicing). Its 5' end forms complementary base pairs with the 5' splice junction, thus defining the 5' donor site of an intron. The record is from Ensembl. Lineage: Eukaryota; Metazoa; Chordata; Actinopteri; Characiformes; Acestrorhamphidae.
AUACUUACCUGGCAGGGAGAUACCAUGAUCAAGAAGGUUGGUUCACCAAGGGUGAGGCUCGUCCAUGCACUUCCGGAUGUGCUGACCCCUGCGAAUUCCCCAAAUGGGAAAAUCUCGACUGGAUAAUUUCUGGUAGGUGGGGGACUUGCGUUUCAGCGCUCUCCCCUG